RNAcentral lists this ribosomal RNA (488 nucleotides) under uncultured bacterium. RNAcentral's name for it is "partial 16S ribosomal RNA". It matches the Rfam family "Bacterial small subunit ribosomal RNA", at positions 28 to 507 of the family's 1533-position model. The record is from RNAcentral.
GAUGAACGCUGGCGGCGUGCCUAACACAUGCAAGUCGAACGGAAAGACGCUGCUUUUGUGCUGGUGUCGAGUGGCGAACGGGUGAGUAACACGUGAGUAAACUGCCCGUGACUUUGGGAUAACUUCCGGAAACUGGGGCUAUAACCCGAUAGAAGCUCCUGCUGCAUGGGGGGGGUUGGGAAGUUCCGGCUGUUGGGGUUGGACUCGGGGCGUAUCAGCUUGUUGGUGGGGUAGGGGGUUACUAAGGCUUUGACGGGUAGCCGGCCUGAGAGGGGGACGGGCGGCACGGGAACUGAGACGGGGCCCAGAGUCCUACGGGAGGCAGCAGUCGGGAAUGGGGGGCAAUGGGCGAAAGCAUGACACAGUGAGGCCGCGCGUGUGACGACGGCCUUCGGUGCGUAAAGACGGCUUUUGGGGUAAGAACCGCUUUGGCCUGAGACGGAGCGGGAGUGACGGUAACGGAUAAAGAAGCACCGGCUAACUACGUG